RNAcentral lists this ribosomal RNA (506 nucleotides) under uncultured Caryophanales bacterium. Its description in RNAcentral is "uncultured Bacillales bacterium partial 16S ribosomal RNA". The record is from RNAcentral. Lineage: Bacteria; Bacillati; Bacillota; Bacilli; Caryophanales.
CACGUAGUUAGCCGGGGCUUUCUUCUCAGGUACCGUCACCUAAAGAGCAGUUACUCUCCCUAGCGUUCUUCCCUGGCAACAGAGCUUUACGAUCCGAAAACCUUCAUCACCCACGCGGCGUUGCUCGGUCAGACUUUCGUCCAUUGCCGAAGAUUCCCUACUGCUGCCUCCCGUAGGAGUCUGGGCCGUGUCUCAGUCCCAGUGUGGCCGUUCACCCUCUCAGGUCGGCUACGCAUCGUCGCCUUGGUAAGCCGUUACCCUACCAACUAGCUAAUGCGCCGCAGGCCCAUCUGCAAGCGACAGAUUGCUCCGUCCUUUCCCAACACGAGGAUGCCCUCAUGUUGACCAUCCGGUUUUAGCUCACGUUUCCGCCAGUUACUCCCCGUCUUGCAGCCAGGUUGCCUACGUGUUACUCACCCGUCCGCCACUAACGCGAUUCAAAGAGCAAGCUCUUCGAACCACUCCGUUCGACUUGCAUGUAUUAGGCACGCCGCCAGCGUCGUCCU